Molecule: small nuclear RNA, 99 nt
Organism: Coffea eugenioides
Lineage: Eukaryota; Viridiplantae; Streptophyta; Magnoliopsida; Gentianales; Rubiaceae
Source: RefSeq, a predicted model, not a curated record
AUAAAGCUUGUAGUAUAUAAUAUCCAUACUAAGAGAAAAGGAUUAGCAUGGCCCUGCGCAAGGAUGGCACGCACAAAUCGAGAAAUGGUCCAAAUUUUU